RNAcentral lists this ribosomal RNA (207 nucleotides) under uncultured bacterium. RNAcentral's name for it is "partial 16S ribosomal RNA". It matches the Rfam family "Bacterial small subunit ribosomal RNA", at positions 568 to 774 of the family's 1533-position model. The record is from RNAcentral.
UGCGUAGGCGGCGCCUUAAGUCAGAUGUGAAAUAUCCACGCUUAACGUGGAGGGUGCAUUUGAAACUGGGGCGCUUGAGUGCAGGAGAGGAAAGUGGAAUUCCUAGUGUAGCGGUGAAAUGCGUAGAUAUUAGGAGGAACACCAGUGGCGAAGGCGACUUUCUGGACUGUAACUGACGCUGAGGCACGAAAGCGUGGGGAGCAAACA